Molecule: non-coding RNA, 24 nt
Filed under: Arabidopsis thaliana (thale cress)
Lineage: Eukaryota; Viridiplantae; Streptophyta; Magnoliopsida; Brassicales; Brassicaceae
Source: RNAcentral
UAUCGCUGCCAUCUUUGUCAUGGU